This is a long non-coding RNA of Bos taurus (domestic cattle), 330 nucleotides long. Lineage: Eukaryota; Metazoa; Chordata; Mammalia; Artiodactyla; Bovidae. The record is from Ensembl.
GCCCUGUGAAGACGGCCUGUUCCAUCCUUCAUCACCCUCGUUACAUCGCCGGUUUGUGCGUCCCCUAAGAACCAUCAUGUGGGUAUCACCUGGGCUGCCACCGUCCACUAGUCACGUCUGCCUGUCCCUGUGCUUAAAGCACUCAUCGUACUUCGCAGAAGAUUCGCUCACACGAUGCUGAAACUGAAGCUCCAAUACUUUGACCACCUGAUGCCAGGAGCCAACUCAUUGGAAAAGACUCUGAUGCUGGGAAAAAUUGAAGGUGGAAGAAGGGGGUGACAGAGGAUGAGAUGGUUGGAUGGCACCACCUACUCGAUGGACAUGAGUGAG